RNAcentral lists this long non-coding RNA (239 nucleotides) under Pan troglodytes (chimpanzee). RNAcentral's name for it is "long non-coding RNA NONPTRT001771". The record is from RNAcentral. Lineage: Eukaryota; Metazoa; Chordata; Mammalia; Primates; Hominidae.
GAUAUAUAUUUCAAAUUUCCCCAAUCUUAUUGUUGAAACAGAACCACGUUACUUAGCAAUUUUCUAGUUCCAGGUGACAGAAACCUGUCACCAAGAAGUUGAACUUAAAGAAGAAAAAAGAAAUAUGUGUUCUCAUUAACAGGCUGGUGAUAACUUUAGACAUUGCCUGACCUAAGAUUUCAAAGUCAAAGUUUGGGGCCUGCUGCUUUAUAAGACUAAUCUUGUGAGACUAACCCAGU